This 375-nucleotide ribosomal RNA is filed under the name uncultured bacterium. Its description in RNAcentral is "bacterial SSU rRNA". It matches the Rfam family "Bacterial small subunit ribosomal RNA", at positions 521 to 896 of the family's 1533-position model. The record is from RNAcentral.
UAAUACGUAGGGUGCGAGCGUUAAUCGGAAUUACUGGGCGUAAAGCGUGCGCAGGUGGUCAUGUAAGACAGAUGUGAAAUCCCCGGGCUUAACCUGGGAAUUGCAUUUGUGACUGCAUGGCUAGAGUGUGGCAGAGGGGGAUGGAAUUCCGCGUGUAGCAGUGAAAUGCGUAGAUAUGCGGAGGAACACCGAUGGCGAAGGCAGUCCCCUGGGCCUGCACUGACACUCAAGCACGAAAGCGUGGGGAGCAAACAGGAUUAGAUACCCUGGUAGUCCACGCCCUAAACGAUGUCGACUGGUUGUUGGGAGGGUUCCCUCUCAGUAACGAAGCUAACGCGUGAAGUCGACCGCCUGGGGAGUACGGCCGCAAGGUUG